This 618-nucleotide long non-coding RNA is filed under the name Mytilus galloprovincialis (Mediterranean mussel). The record is from RNAcentral. Lineage: Eukaryota; Metazoa; Mollusca; Bivalvia; Mytilida; Mytilidae.
GUCCUUGGUUACUCCUGUAAUAUCCGUUGCAGAACAUAUUGACUAUAUACCUUUUGUUCCUCUUUUAAUAAGCUUUCGAUUGAGGUAUAAUAUAUAUCUGUAAUUAGGGGCUGAAGGGUCAUAGCAGUCCAUUCCAUUAUUCAAAAUAUCCAUUUCAUUAUUCAAAAUGGGCUAACAUGUUUAACCCCGUCACAUUAUUUAUGUACUUGUAUGUGUCUGUCCCAAGUCAGGAGCCUGUAAUUUAGUGGUUGUCGUUUGUUUAUGUGUUACAUAUUUGUUUUUCGUUCAUUAUUUUACAUAAAUAAGGCCGUUAGUUUUCUCGUUUGAAUUGUUUUACAAUGUCUUAUCGGGGCCUUAAAUAGCUGACUAUGCGGUAUGGGCUUUGCUCAUUGUUGAAGGCCGUACGGUGACCUAUAGUUGUUAAUGUCUGUGUCAUUUUGGUCUUUUGUGGAUAUUUUUCUCAUUGGCAAUCAUACCACAUCUUCUUUUUUAUAUUUCCUCAUUUUUACGCAUGUUGUUGCAUUUAGGUCCUCCGUAGAACCUCUUAUGGUCAUUGUAAAUCAAAAUAUAGCUAUAGUGUCACAGUCAAAUUUUUUUAUAUUUAUUUCACUAUUCACC